CAACCCUCAGCUAACCGCUGGUUAUGAACCUGAACGGGUAACUCCGAGCCGGUUUUAAAGUUGUAAGCUCUGCUGGCCGCUCCGCCCAACCAGAACAUAGUAAAAACACUACUUGUUAGGGUGAAGCUGAACGGUACGGCCUGAACAAAACCUACCCACUUCUAAG
This 166-nucleotide unclassified non-coding RNA is filed under the name Orbilia cladodes. Its description in RNAcentral is "partial internal transcribed spacer 2". The record is from RNAcentral. Lineage: Eukaryota; Fungi; Ascomycota; Orbiliomycetes; Orbiliales; Orbiliaceae.